GACGAACCGUGCGAACGUUAUUCGGAAUCACUGGGCUUAAAGGGCGCGUAGACGGGCGACCGCGUCGAUGGCUGAAAGCCCCCGGCUCAACCGGGGAACGGGCCUCGAUACGGGUCGUCUCGAGUGGAGGAGGGGGACCUGGAACUGCCGGUGGAGCGGUGAAAUGCGUUGAGAUCGGCAGGAACGCCUGUGGCGAAAGCGAGGUCCUGGACUCCGACUGACGUUGAGGCGCGAAAGCGUGGGGAGCGAACAGG
RNAcentral lists this ribosomal RNA (254 nucleotides) under uncultured bacterium. Its description in RNAcentral is "partial 16S ribosomal RNA". It matches the Rfam family "Bacterial small subunit ribosomal RNA", at positions 524 to 776 of the family's 1533-position model. The record is from RNAcentral.